RNAcentral lists this ribosomal RNA (471 nucleotides) under uncultured bacterium. RNAcentral's name for it is "bacterial SSU rRNA". It matches the Rfam family "Bacterial small subunit ribosomal RNA", at positions 330 to 793 of the family's 1533-position model. The record is from RNAcentral.
GCCAGACUCCUACGGGAGGCAGCAGUUAGGAAUAUUCGUCAAUGGGGGAAACCCUGAACGAGCAAUGCCGCGUGAACGAUGACGGUCCUCUGGAUUGUAAAGUUCUGUUGUUUGGGAAGAACGGCUCUAAUAGGAAAUGAUUAGAGAUUGACUGUACCAUUCAAGAAAGCCACGGCUAACUCCGUGCCAGCAGCCGCGGUAAUACGGAGGAUGCGAGCGUUAUCCGGAUUUAUUGGGUUUAAAGGGUGCGUAGGCGGAAUGCCAAGUCAGCGGUAAAAUCGCGGGGCUCAACCUCGCUCCGCCGUUGAAACUGGCGUUCUUGAGUGGGCGAGAAGUAUGCGGAAUGCGUGGUGUAGCGGUGAAAUGCAUAGAUAUCACGCAGAACUCCGAUUGCGAAGGCAGCAUACCGGCGCCCAACUGACGCUGAAGCACGAAAGCGUGGGUAUCGAACAGGAUUAGAUACCCGCGUAU